Molecule: ribosomal RNA, 355 nt
Filed under: uncultured bacterium
Lineage: Bacteria
Description: partial 16S ribosomal RNA
Rfam family: Bacterial small subunit ribosomal RNA
Source: RNAcentral
CCUACGGGUGGCAGCAGUGGGGAAUAUUGCACAAUGGGGGAAACCCUGAUGCAGCGACGCCGCGUGAGUGAAGAAGUAUUUCGGUACGUAAAGCUCUAUCAGCAGGGAAGAAAAUGACGGUACCUGACUAAGAAGCUCCGGCUAACUACGUGCCAGCAGCCGCGGUAAUACGUAGGCGGCAAGCGUUAUCCGGAUUUACUGGGUGUAAAGGGAGGGUAGACGGCCGCGAAAGUCCGGAGUGAAAUCCCUGGGCUUAACCAUGGAACUGCAUUGGAAACUGUGCAGCUAGAGUGUAGGAGAGGUAAGCGGAAUGCGUGGUGUAGCGGUGAAAUGCGUAGAUAUUAGGAGGAACACC